CGAACGGGUGAGUAACACGUGAGCAACCUGCCCUAGGCUUUGGGAUAACCCCGGGAAACCGGGGCUAAUACCGAAUAUGACCUCCGAUCGCAUGGUUGGUGGUGGAAAGUUUUUCGGCCUGGGAUGGGCUCGCGGCCUAUCAGCUUGUUGGUGGGGUGAUGGCCUACCAAGGCGACGACAGGUAGCCGGCCUGAGAGGGCGACCGGCCACACUGGGACUGAGACACGGCCCAGACUCCUACGGGAGGCAGCAGUGGGGAAUAUUGCACAAUGGGCGGAAGCCUGAUGCAACGACGCCGCGUGAGGGAUGACGGCCUUCGGGUUGUAAACCUCUUUCAGCAGGGACGAAGCGUAAGUGACGGUACCUGCAGAAGAAGCGCCGGCCAACUACGUGCCAGCAGCCGCGGUAAGACGUACGGCGCGAGCGUUGUCCGGAUUUAUUGGGCGUAAAGAGCUCGUAGGCGGCUUGUCACGUCCACCGUGAAAACUUGGGGCUCAACCCCAAGCCUGCGGUCGAUACGGGCAGGCUAGAGUUCGGUAGGGGAGACUGGAAUUCCUGGUGUAGCGGUGAAAUGCGCAGAUAUCAGGAGGAACACCGGUG
RNAcentral lists this ribosomal RNA (600 nucleotides) under Micromonospora coxensis. RNAcentral describes it as "bacterial SSU rRNA". It matches the Rfam family "Bacterial small subunit ribosomal RNA", at positions 99 to 714 of the family's 1533-position model. The record is from RNAcentral. Lineage: Bacteria; Bacillati; Actinomycetota; Actinomycetes; Micromonosporales; Micromonosporaceae.